UGCCGUACCUCGGGGUGGCCGGUCACCGGCCUGAGAUGCGUGGGGUGCCACGCGAACCCGUUGAACCUGAACCGGUUAGGACCGGCGGAGGGAAGGUUUCGGGACCAUGC
Molecule: non-coding RNA, 110 nt
Filed under: Roseicyclus elongatus
Lineage: Bacteria; Pseudomonadati; Pseudomonadota; Alphaproteobacteria; Rhodobacterales; Roseobacteraceae
Also listed under: 1 other name
Description: Roseibacterium elongatum TPP sequence
Rfam family: TPP riboswitch aptamer (THI element)
About the family: Vitamin B(1) in its active form thiamin pyrophosphate (TPP) is an essential coenzyme that is synthesised by coupling of pyrimidine and thiazole moieties in bacteria. The previously detected thiamin-regulatory element, thi box was extended, resulting in a new, highly conserved RNA secondary structure, the THI element, which is widely distributed in eubacteria and also occurs in some archaea.
Source: RNAcentral